UACGAAGGGGGCUAGCGUUGCUCGGAAUUACUGGGCGUAAAGGGCGCGUAGGCGGGUCGCUUAGUUAGAGGUGAAAGCCCAGGGCUUAACCCUGAGCCUGCUUCCGAUACGGGCAGACUAGAGGUAUGCAGGGGAGAACGGAAUUCCUGGUGUAGCGGUGAAAUGCGCAGAUAUCAGGAGGAACACCGGUGGCGAAGGCGGUUCUCUGGGCAUUACCUGACGCUGAGGAGCGAAAGUGUGGGGAGCGAACAGG
Molecule: ribosomal RNA, 253 nt
Filed under: uncultured bacterium
Lineage: Bacteria
Description: partial 16S ribosomal RNA
Rfam family: Bacterial small subunit ribosomal RNA
Source: RNAcentral